This 425-nucleotide ribosomal RNA is filed under the name uncultured bacterium. RNAcentral's name for it is "partial 16S ribosomal RNA". It matches the Rfam family "Bacterial small subunit ribosomal RNA", at positions 354 to 796 of the family's 1533-position model. The record is from RNAcentral.
GUGGGGAAUCUUGCGCAAUGGGCGAAAGCCUGACGCAGCCAUGCCGCGUGGAUGAUGAAGGUCUUAGGAUUGUAAAAUCCUUUCACCGGUGAAGAUAAUGACGGUAGCCGGAGAAGAAGCCCCGGCUAACUUCGCGCCAGCAGCCGCGGUAAUACGAAGGGGGCUAGCGUUGCUCGGAGUUACUGGGCGUAAAGGGAGCGUAGGCGGACAUUUAAGUCAGGGGUGAAAUCCCGAGGCUCAACCUCGGAACUGCCUGUAAUACUGUGUGUCUGGAGGGUGAGAGAGGUGAGUGGAACUCCGAGUGUAGAGAUGAAAUUAGUAGAUAUUCGGAAGAACACCAGUGGCGAAGGCGACAUACUGGUCCAUUACUGACGCUGAGGCUCGAAAGCGUGGGGAGCAAACAGGAUUAGAUACCCUAGUAGUCC